GGCUUAUGUGUUUUUGCGCGUAGCUCGCGAGGACAUAUCAGUGGAGAGAAAUAUUUUUUUUGGCGUUAUUUUGCCGCAUUUCAGCUCAUCGAAUAUGAAAUUCAGGCUGCAAACUACGUACGUUCAGGAGGAAGAGGACUGUAUGUGCACAUACAUGAUACGAUCUCUUCUGGAUCAUCUCUGCAGGUUUCACAUUCCACUCAGUGCAUUAUGUGAGAGAAGACAACGCCCCUCCAUUCUGCUUCCUGAACAUUUCAAAU
Long non-coding RNA from Sinocyclocheilus anshuiensis, 260 nucleotides. RefSeq lists it as uncharacterized. The record is from RefSeq and is a predicted model, not a curated record. Lineage: Eukaryota; Metazoa; Chordata; Actinopteri; Cypriniformes; Cyprinidae. The transcript is spliced from 3 exons.